RNAcentral lists this microRNA precursor (76 nucleotides) under Myotis davidii. RNAcentral's name for it is "mir-9229 microRNA precursor family". It matches the Rfam family "mir-9229 microRNA precursor family". The record is from Rfam by way of RNAcentral. Lineage: Eukaryota; Metazoa; Chordata; Mammalia; Chiroptera; Vespertilionidae.
AGACACCCUUCUGGGGCAAGACUUGCUUCAGUGUGGCUUUGGUGCUCACUGAGUUCUGCCCCCUGAGUGUGUCCCU